Callithrix jacchus (white-tufted-ear marmoset) is the source of this 148-nucleotide unclassified non-coding RNA. It matches the Rfam family "Metazoan signal recognition particle RNA". Rfam says of the family: The signal recognition particle (SRP) is a universally conserved ribonucleoprotein. NCBI's taxonomy places the organism in Eukaryota, Metazoa, Chordata, Mammalia, Primates, Cebidae. The record is from Ensembl.
GCCGGGCGUGGUGGCGCGCGCCUGUAGUCCCAGCUACUUGGGAGGCUGAGGCAGGAGAAUCGCUUGAAUCCGGGAGGCGGAGGUUGCAGUGAGCCAAGUUGGUGCCACUGCACUCCAGCCUGGGUGACAGAGCGGGACUCUGUCUCAA